This 3332-nucleotide long non-coding RNA is filed under the name Equus caballus (horse). RNAcentral's name for it is "lncRNA (ENSECAG00000056231.1)". The record is from RNAcentral. Lineage: Eukaryota; Metazoa; Chordata; Mammalia; Perissodactyla; Equidae.
GACGGGGGAGGGGAGGAGCAGGAGGAAGAGGAAGGGGGAGAAGGAGAAAAGGGACAGAGCCCAGAAACAGACACAGAAAAGAGAAAGGGACAAGAGGGGAGGGGGGGAUGGAGAUGGAGAAUGAAGACAGUGGAUCAGGAAAAACAGUUUAAAUAAAACCAGGGGAGAUUAAAUUAACUGAUACAUACAUUCCAAGAGGUAGGUCGCAGGAGCAGCCAUAAAUACCAGCUCCCUAUCUCCUCUGCUCAAGACAGCAGAGAGAGCAAAAUAAAAUUAAAAGAUAUAACAAUAAAAAUUACAAAUGCAUCUUGAGGGCCCUGUACCCGAGGUCUGUAAUGGAGGCACCAAGUAGGGUGAGCCUGGAGCACAGCCCUCACUCAAGCCAGGGCAGCCUCAAGGUGGGAGCCAGAGGACCAUUUUCUUUUCCAUCUGGCUGGUCACUCUGUGUCUCCUAUUCAAUAGGACACUCUGUGUCUUCAUUCAAUAGACUUUCAGAGUGCCCGCUGCAUGCCCGUAAAGGAUUCAAAGGGUGAUGGUUACCACCAUGACAACUGAUUUGGUACUUUAUGAGGAUUUUCCUGGUCAUCACCACCCCUUGAGGGAGCUGGGUUUUACUCCCCUCAUUUUACAGGUGAGGAAAUUGAGGCUUGGAAAGGCUGUGAUUUGGCUCAAAAUGACUCGCUAGUUAACAAGUAGAGCAAGGAUUCGAACCCGGUCCCCCCGACUCCACACCCUUUCCACCAUGGCCCUCAAGAGGCUUACUUCUGCCAGUCUCAUCUGAAAAAAUGAACACGCUUUCUGACACAUACACAUCACAUCGCCGCCAUGCCAGAUGCGUGGCGAAUCUGAUAGGCUGUGAACAAACCGAGACAGCACCCUCUGAAGUGGGAGUGUCCAACUCUACAGAUUUCAAAGACCUUUUUUAGCAUCCAAAGUUACCUGACACCCCACCUGACACGCACUCACAAGCACACUAGUGGUCCUACUUUUAAAUAUCUAUAAAUUGAGAAAGUGCCUAAUGACCCAAAGCUACAAUAAAUCCAGGCACACUUUUAAAGGAAUUUUAACUUUACUCAUCAACAUAUUCUUGGGAAAAAAAUUAAAACGCAGACAAAAACAAGACAGAGCCUCUGUUGGGACAAUGGUCAACUGCCACACCUGGGGAUCAGGAGACCCCCUUGCAAGAACUCCAGGGCUCCUUCCCCGACCAGGGUCCACAGGCCAAGAGUCCAGGAGCUUCUAACUGAGAUGGGGCCUUUGAGCAGAAGGGUCAGGAGGUUGGUUAUGGGUUGGCAAGGUCAGCCCAGGAAGACUCCCUGAGGGAAGUGGAUCCUGGGAAGGGCUGGGAAGGGAAGCAGUGUGGCAGCACCAAGGUGCGUGUGGGGAAAGAGUUGGGAGGGAGGAGAGCAGAAUGACUACAGUACUCUGGCCCCAUUGCCACCAAAGGCCCCAAUUUACGCUUUUGUCAUGAUCUCCAAAUGGCAUUAUGUUGACAGCCACAGGGACACUCCAACAGGGUUGAAAGGAGAAGGUGCUUCUCCUACAGCUUUAAACUGGAGUCUCACCUGGCCGCACUGCCUGGAGUGCACCCCUCACUCAUCAGAGGAGCAGCGAAGACAGUGGAAGUCCUCUGGGUGCCAAGCACUGCUCAAGAUGCUGGGGCUACAGCGAAGAACAAAACGGGAUGAGAAAGCCUGCUGUCAAGGAGCUUAUCUUAAUUCAUAAGGUUCUCAGUCUUGAAAUGAGUUUGCGAGCCGCACAAUUAUAGGCAGUCUUUUAUGAGUUAAAAGUUUUAACUUGUGGAAUGUAAAUCAGAUGACACUUAUGCAACUCUGUUUGGCAUUUCUUCAUUUUUAAAUGUAUUGGAGCCUCAGAAACAGAAGAGGCCUUCGGGUCCCUGGCAGACUCUGAGCAGGACAGAGGAAUAGCCCUCGAUUAAAGGCAUCCAUCUAACAGUAGCCGCUACCCUCCUGGAUGCCAGAGGUUCCAGGGGUGACAGAGACACUGGGGGGAGGGCAUUGGCACCCACCAUCCUCUCCACUCACAGCUGACCCACCUCUUCCUCUGGCUUCUCACCUCCUCCCUCAACCAAGAUCAUAGCUCUGGAAUUAAGAGCCCCUGCUCUGAUUGAUAUAGUCUCCAGAAUACUUGCUCUUCCUACCACAGCCUCCCAACAAAAACAGAAUCCCUGGAGAGAGAAGGCCCAGGGAGAACGUGCAAGUAAUCCACUCAGCUCUGACUGCAUAGAUGCCGUCAUUGCAAAGUUCAGGAGACUUGAGUCUCUCUACCCCAGCACGGCCACUCACUGUACCACCCUGAGCAAAUGGUUUAGUCUCAUGGUGCCUCUGUUGCUUCACCUGUGAAAUGGAGCUAAAUAGUAGUAGCUACCCUAGCAGGGCUGUUGUGAAGAUAAAGCACAUAAUGCAUGUGUUCUGUAAAUGUUAACUAUUAUGAUUAUGCUCUCCCUCUGAGGCUCUACAGGACAUAAACUUUGGGGACGGGGGGAAAUUGGGGACAAAGCUAAAGAGUACGAAGCUGAUGCUGGCAGUCAGCAGAGAGCAAUUGCAAGAGGCCUGGACUGGGAGGAGGGAGACCGGGAUCUGCCUAUCCCUAAUUCUGUAAUGGCCUCCCUUUGAGCCUCAGUAUCCCCAUCUGUACAAUGAGGAGGUUGGACAUCUGGGCUGGAAGAGUCUCUGGUUCUAGGAAUUAGUGUUGGAAAGAAUGAGAGAGGGCCCAGGACAAAUCCAGUUCAGACACAGUCCAUGACCAAGGGUAGGAUGAGUUUGGAUGGGGUCCUGCUGGGAAAUAGCCAGGAGUCUCUCAGGCAGGUUCUCUUUGGAAAUCCUAGGCCCCAAAACUCAGCCAAGAUGACCCUACAGACCCAUCAAGACCACCGCCACUGGCAGUAAAAGCCCCAAUGCCUGAGGGGGGCAGGAGAUGGGGAGGGUGGCACCCUACCUGCUCACCUGCCAUCUUGGAAUCUGGUACCUGCUCUUGUCAUUAGCUCCACCCUCAGCUGGAUUUAAUGAAUCUGAGAAAAAUUAUGAAGUCCCAUAAAGCCACAAGUAUCAUAAAAAGUAUAAUAAAAUUGAGAAAAGCUAUUAAGUUAUAAAUACAACCAAUGCACGCAACAUCACUCAGUCGGGGAGGAAGUCGCUAUAAAAUAAAGUCAUUCCACAAGUGACUAAAUCUCUUAAUUCACAAGGCACACGCUCCCUUUACAGUGCCCAACCCCGUCUUCCCUGCCAGGAGUUUGCGUAACAGGAACUUUCCGUGGCAGGGAACGGUGAGUGGGGAGACAAAGAAAGAGACCAAAAUGAUGGAGAGAGAGA